RNAcentral lists this long non-coding RNA (472 nucleotides) under Malus domestica (apple). RNAcentral's name for it is "long non-coding RNA (MDOM_LNC009498)". Lineage: Eukaryota; Viridiplantae; Streptophyta; Magnoliopsida; Rosales; Rosaceae. The record is from RNAcentral.
UUGGGCCGCAGAAGGUAGUGCUCAACUGCCGGUACAUGUUGCUUUUAUGUAGAAUCUUCUGGGGCGACGAGGAUAAAACUUGUUUUUGAGUGUUCCUUCUAGUGUUCGUCUAUCCUUAGCGUGUCUUUUGGGCCUAGUUGUUGCGUUCAUCAGGAUUCGGUGGAAUAGUGCAUCAUGAUGAUGACUGCAUGCGUUUGAAGGUAAAACUUGAGCUUUUAGGUUACAACAACUAUAGUCGAAGUUAGCUUUUGAAUUUCUGAUAACAUCAAUGAGAGCUUUUAAACUGUGGAAUACAACUGAUAGCAUCGAGGAGAACUUUUAAAUUGUGGAAUGAUAGCAUCGAGGAGAGCUUUUAAACUAUGGAAUACAGGUAGUUGGGCCCCCAGCUCUUCUCGCAUGAUGAUAGAGGUUAUUAUUGGUCUAGAUACCGUCAAACACGUGAAUAAGUCCUCCGUUGCUUCCGGUUUGGAUA